Haliotis rubra (blacklip abalone) is the source of this 495-nucleotide long non-coding RNA. RefSeq lists it as uncharacterized. Lineage: Eukaryota; Metazoa; Mollusca; Gastropoda; Lepetellida; Haliotidae. The transcript has 3 exons. The record is from RefSeq and is a predicted model, not a curated record.
GUAUGUGUCACGCAAUAUUCUUUUACAGUUCUGCCUGACAACUCAUAGGCAACUUAUCACAACAUUCAGUGUUAACCACGAGUGUUCGGAUGGGACAGAGAUGUACUCAAUGUGAACAUUGAUAAGGAAAAUGAAAUAACUGAGGGUUCUGAAGAGCAAGAUACAAAUGUUGAUAAUGAAGGCACAGCUUCAGUCUGGCUCAAGGCUCUCCUCUUCCACAGACAGGGACCAGAUGUCACGGAUGGCUUUUCAAAAUCCUCAAGCGCAUACAGGCUUGCUGCUAUGUGUCGACAAGCCCCAUCAGCACUGAAAUAUGAACACAAAAUGAUAAAGAAAUUGAAUGAUAUAUUAUAUUAACACUGAAGUGUUUAAAUGCCAAUAUAUUAACAUUUUAUAAACGUGAUGUAAAAUCAAUUACAAUUUUCUUUUGAAUAAAGGUUGCAUUAAAUAAAUAUUUCAAAUACAUGUAUUGAAAAUAUAUUCAGUGGUGGAUAG